This 347-nucleotide long non-coding RNA is filed under the name Mus musculus (house mouse). RNAcentral describes it as "long non-coding RNA chr12:101646185-101646532". Lineage: Eukaryota; Metazoa; Chordata; Mammalia; Rodentia; Muridae. The record is from RNAcentral.
AUGGAUGGAGGAGAAAAUACCUAUGGUGGCUGUGAAAGCCUUAAUGCCGUGCAUACCAAGUUAAAACCUUCAGGUGGUCAUGGAUUUAUUAUUAAAAAAAAAAAAAAAGCAGACAUGCCUUAAUAUCAUGGAACAAUAAAGGAUAUGCUGAGUGGGCCAGGACAGCUUGUGGAGAAUGAAGUCACUGAGGUCCAUUUUAGAGAGUCUUUCACAUUUGCUAUUGAGAGAUGCAUAUAUUUUACCCACAAGUCUGCUACACUAAUAGCUCCAUUGAGAUUCCUGAACUCCCAACUGCACCUGAACUUGCCACUGGAGUUUCCAAUGGCUUCAAACUCCCUAGGUUGUUA